Non-coding RNA from Pelobates cultripes (western spadefoot toad), 684 nucleotides. NCBI's taxonomy places the organism in Eukaryota, Metazoa, Chordata, Amphibia, Anura, Pelobatidae. The record is from the annotation of a GenBank genome assembly.
CCUCAAACAGGGAGAGAAACAUAAAGGACCACUCUAAUUAUUAUUAUUUUAUUAUUUAUAUAGCGCCAGCAAAAUUCUGUAGCACUGUUUGGGAAAAAAUAAUGGCAGUUCAGCCUUUGAAGCUCUCCCAGGCCCCAGGUAGAAAUUAGCCAACUCCCACUAUCGGCAGGACACAGCCAAACCAGAAGCAGGGAUGCCAUCGAUAUCUUGGACAGGUGCUACACAGCAAGACCAUCACCAAAGCCUUUCUGGCCAGCCUGGAAUUAGAAUGGUAUGUUAGGACUCGGUAUGUCCUUGCAGGAGUGAUGAGUCAGUUGAGGCUUGUCGUGAAUCUUCAGCACCCUUAUGACAGUUCAGAGUACUUUUAGGUGGAAAGGUUUGACAGUGGCAUCAGCAAGUGGCUUCCUUGAGUUGGAAACAGCGGUGUCAGGUAGAAGUGCCCAUCUCAGCGGCCAUAAUAGAGGUAUGUGGGUUUGGGUUUGUAAGUCUGCACUAUGUACACUAUAAUAGCCAUUUUUAGGGCUCUAGGGUGGACAGGGAAGAGCCCCAGUGGUACAAAGGGAGGGAGGGGGCGAGCACCAUACACUGCCAAGGAGUAGGCUUACUACUGUUGGGCAAGUGAGCAGGGCGGCGGCCGUCCACCACACUCACCACUUGAGUAGGCCACAACCAUGGGAAUCCAAG